Molecule: long non-coding RNA, 6104 nt
Filed under: Brassica napus (rape)
Lineage: Eukaryota; Viridiplantae; Streptophyta; Magnoliopsida; Brassicales; Brassicaceae
Description: long non-coding RNA (BNAP_LNC025136)
Source: RNAcentral
GGGAGAUUCUGUUGGAUGGUGUUGAGAUAAAGACGCUUCAGUUAAAGUUCUUGCGUGAACAGAUCGGUCUUGUGAAUCAAGAACCUGCUCUCUUCGCCACAACCAUUCUUGAGAAUAUACUCUACGGGAAACCUAAUGCAACAAUAGAUGAAGUUGAAGCUGCUGCGUCUGCUGCCAACGCGCAUAGCUUCAUCACGUUGCUUCCUAAAGGCUACGACACACAGGUUGGAGAGCGUGGCGUUCAACUCUCAGGUGGACAGAAGCAAAGAAUCGCAAUCGCUCGGGCGAUGUUAAAAGACCCCAAGAUUCUGUUACUAGACGAAGCAACGAGCGCUCUUGACGCUAGCUCCGAGAGCAUAGUUCAAGAGGCUUUAGACAGAGUCAUGGUCGGGAGAACCACAGUGGUCGUCGCUCAUCGUCUAUGCACCAUACGUAACGUUGACUCCAUCGCGGUGAUACAGCAAGGACAAGUUGUUGAGACCGGAACACACGAAGAGCUCAUAGCUAAGUCAGGUGCUUACGCAUCGCUCAUUAGGUUUCAAGAGAUGGUUGGUACUCGUGACUUCUCUAACCCGUCAACACGUCGCACUCGUUCCACACGUUUGAGCCAUUCCUUGUCGACCAAGUCACUGAGCUUAAGGUCAGGGAGUUUGAGGAAUUUGAGUUACUCUUACAGCACUGGAGCUGAUGGUCGGAUAGAGAUGAUAUCAAACGCAGAGAGUGAUAGAAAGACUCGUCCCCCUCAAAACUACUUUUAUAGGCUUCUCAAGCUUAAUGCACCUGAAUGGCCUUACUCAAUCAUGGGAGCUGUUGGCUCGGUUCUGUCUGGUUUUAUCGGUCCAACCUUUGCUAUUGUGAUGAGUAAUAUGAUUGAAGUGUUCUACUACACUGACUAUGUUUCAAUGGAGAGGAAGACAAAAGAGUAUGUGUUCAUCUACAUUGGUGCUGGUAUCUAUGCUGUGAUAGCUUACUUGAUCCAGCAUUACUUCUUUAGCAUCAUGGGGGAGAAUCUCACAACAAGAGUAAGAAGAAUGAUGCUCUCAGGUAUGUAACAAAAUCUUGAAACAUUUUUUUUAUUGUUGCAUUUCUGAAUUUUUUUAUUUUUUUAUAGUUUCAUUUUUUAUUUUUUUUGUUUGUUUUUUUUAUUAGCAAUCUUGAGGAAUGAGGUUGGUUGGUUUGAUGAGGAUGAACACAACUCGAGUUUGGUUGCUGCAAGGUUAGCCACUGAUGCAGCUGAUGUUAAAUCAGCAAUAGCAGAGAGGAUCUCAGUGAUUCUGCAGAACAUGACUUCACUUCUCACAUCUUUCAUAGUUGCUUUCAUCAUUGAGUGGAGAGUCUCACUUCUCAUCUUAUGCACAUUCCCACUUCUAGUCCUUGCUAACUUUGCUCAGGUAACAAAAUUCUCAAUUCUUUGUUUUGCAACUAUAUGCACAUUAAAACAAUCUUUAAGGGUUAAGGUCUUAUUGAGUCUGCACAUAAAACUUGAUUAAGUAAAAGCCAAUAAAAGAGUAACUAACUUUUAUGUUUUCUAAACUAUUGUUUAUUUUAUAUCCAAAAGUUCAAAACUUUAUAGAACAUGUCAACACAUUCACUGCCUUCUGUAGUUGCAUUUCCUUUUCCGAUAAUAAUAAUCAUAAAAGAGUAUUCAGUCUUUUUUUUUCUCUUUUUUUUUUAGAAUAGUGUGUGACUGAUUGUGAGGGUGCAAGAUGAUGGAGCCCUCACAUCAAUAAAGUAGACUUUUACAUCUGUGAAGAGUAUUUAUUAUAUAGUUUCUAUUGGUAGUACGGCACAUAGAUAACAGUGUUCAUGAAAAUAGCUAAGAUUCAUCUGUCUUUUUAUGUAUCUAUCUUCUUGCUUUACUUCUGCAAAAUAUUUCCUGCUUUAAGCUUUCAUAGUUACUUCUCUGAACUCUGAUCCCACUCUCUUAUUAUUUAAUAAUUUUCCCCAUAAACCCAUUUCUCAUAUUCACAUAAAAUCCAAAAACCUUGCAACUUUUCUUUUCACACCAAGAACCAAUUAUUAUUAGGCACUGUGAAAGAAGGGCAGUGAUUUAUUCAAAAACCACUGUUGUUUUCUUCAUUGGUCAAACUGCUUGUCUCAGUUUUUAUUUACUUAUUCAAGUUGUGUGUGUGUCAGAGUGUCAGUGUUAAACAAUCAACCAAUGGUCCCAAUGAUAGUAUUAGAUGAUAUAAAAUAUUUAUAUCAAUAAAAUAACAUAAAAAUAAAAGCCAUCAAGUGCGUUAUUGGUUGGACCGCUGGUCAUGGCCUGCUUUGAUAAUUCAAGUGCGUUAUUUGUUUUAACACGAACAAACAAAAAACAGUUUUUGACAAGUGCGUUAUUUUCAGAAAAACGCUUUUGAUUUAUGUUUUGUGUUGAUUGGUGACAUCUGCGGUUUUUCUGUCCCAUCAUAACAAAUACGCACCGCGAAGGUGUUCCCAUUCAUAACCUACAGUUCCCAGUCCACGAGCACAUACGAAUAUCUCUCUAUGUUUAUUUCGUCUUUGACCACUGGUCUUCUUUAACACUUCGUCUCUCUCUCUCCUCUCUUCAUUAUAUACACACAUCACAUCUUCUCCACACUCUCAUUCUCUCUCCAUUUCUUUCUUUUAUUUCGUCACUCCAAAACAAAACACUCAUAAAGAGUUCUCGAACUCACAAAUCAAUUGUCAGUUUUUUUUUAAAUACAAAACGUUAUUAUUCCUUUUCUUUAUCUCUCUGCUCUGGAUCUCUCCUCCAUUGCCAAUGAUCUCGUCCUCUCUCUGAGCCAACUCGUGUCUGACUCGCUUCUCCUUCCUUAAUCUCACGCCGCAAAAAUGUCAGAGACAACGGCAGAUGCAAAGCCGGUUCCUCCGGCUGAAGCCGAGAAGAAGAAAGAACAGAGCUUACCCUUCUUCAAGCUCUUCUCAUUCGCUGAUAAAUUCGAUCAUCUGUUAAUGAUCACUGGCUCAAUAGGCGCCAUUAUUCACGGCUCGUCCAUGCCUGUCUUCUUCUUGCUUUUCGGUGAAAUGGUUAAUGGAUUCGGCAAGAACCAGAUGGAUUUACACCAGAUGACACAUGAAGUCUCCAGAGUAAAAAUCAAAUCCUCUCAUUUCUCUCGUUUUAUUUUAUGUUUUAUUAAAAAUUAUAUUCAAGAUCUGAUCUGUUGUGUUCUGUCUUAAAAUAUGCAGUAUGCUCUGUACUUUGUCUACUUGGGUCUGGUUGUCUGCGUCUCUUCAUACGCAGGUUUGCCUCAAAUUUAAAAUCCAUACUUUAUAAUCAGUACCUCUAAUCCAUCUUUUUUUACCAAUACCUCUAAUCCAUUUCUAUAUUUGUAAUUUUAAAUAGAAAUUUUGCUCUAAUACAUGUUUCUACAAUAGAGCCUAAUUAUUUUAUGUGAAGGGAAAAUAUAUAGUUAGGUUAUAACAUCUCUAAUUGUUAGGUUUCUAAAACAAAAAUAUUAUAAUUAUUUAUUUAUGUUUUAUUUUUAUUUUAAAUUAGUUAAUUAUCUAUUUGAAUGAUAAUGUGUUUUUUUAGGGGAGAUUUUAUGAAAUAACCAAAAAAAUAAACAAAAUAGAUUUCUAGAGUGAGAAUAGAGAGAGAUAGGAAGAGAAAAGACCAUUUUGAUUACUUAUCUAAUUUAGGCAUUUUGUUUGGCUAUAGGGUGCAAUUUCUCUUUUUAGUAUCCUAAAGUUUUAAAAAACUCAUAACUAAAAUUUUUUGUUCAUUAUCUCUCUUAAUUUCAUUUUUUUAUAAUAAUGCUAAGAAUUCUUCUUAAUACUACUAUUGGAAGUGCUUUUAGAAGAAAUCCUAAACCGAAACAGAAAUUAUAUAAUAAUAUAAAAUAUCAUUUUUUUAAUUAAAUACAUUCAUUGAAUCAAAAUACUUCUCUAAAUUUUUUAUAGUAAAAUAUAUAUUUAAAUUGAGUUUAAAAUGUUCUAUGUAAACCCAGAAACAGAUAUCAUAUGAUAGGGUAAGAAAGAAAUUCAAUUUUUUUUUUGUAAUUGUAAAAAGUGGAAGGUAAGCUGAGUCCACGUGACUACUUGAGUCAUGGACUCAUUCUUUGUCUAUAUCGAUUAUGCCGUCAUCAAAAUGGAAUCUCUUUCACAUUUAUAACGCUUUGAAAAAACAAUCUUUUUAUUAUUAUUAUGAAAUACAGAGAUUGCAUGUUGGAUGUACUCUGGAGAAAGACAAGUAGCUGCGUUAAGGAAGAAGUAUCUUGAAGCUGUCUUGAAACAAGACGUUGGAUUCUUCGACACCGAUGCAAGAACUGGCGACAUUGUCUUCAGUGUCUCCACCGAUACUCUUCUCGUCCAAGACGCCAUCAGCGAGAAGGUAACAACAACAAAAUCUUUGUCCCUUUUACGUUAGCAAACCGUCAGUUAUCGUGCACCCCAGGUGGGUGCACGUUAGCAAGCAUGAGUUAACGUGCGCUUGAUACUAUCACCCUGUGUUUUUUUACAGGUUGGGAACUUCAUACAUUACUUGUCAACGUUUUUGGCGGGGCUUGUGGUUGGGUUUGUGUCAGCAUGGAGGUUAGCUUUGUUGAGUGUGGCGGUGAUUCCCGGAAUCGCAUUCGCCGGCGGGUUAUACGCUUACACUCUCACCGGCAUCACUUCAAAGAGCCGUGAGUCUUACGCAAACGCCGGUGUUAUAGCCGAGCAGGUGAAAAAAAUCUUUUCUUAAUAAUGCUUUACACUGUUCUUAGACUUGCUCGUUGUACUUGAUCCCUCUAAUGAUUAUGUUUCUCUUCCUUCUCAUUCAAUCCAACAAGGACUUAAACAGUGGUUUCAUGUAAUAAUUGACCUUUAACUUAAAAAUUUUGGAAAAUCUUUUAGACAAAAAAGUUUUUAUAACAAAAUAGCACAUAAAGAGAAAAAUCUCUAAAAUAACACUAUUUAAGAGACAAAAUGACUAAAUUACUUUAAACCCUAAACCCUAAACUCUUACACUAACCUCAUUCUCUAAAUAUUAAAACCUAAACAUUAAUCGCUAAAAUUAAACUUAAAUAAUUUUAUUUUAAGCUUUUAAUUAAUCUAUUUUGAAAGAAGAAAAGCUUGUGUGGUAUAAUUUGAACAAAAAUGUAUUUUAGUGCUAUUAUAGAGUACCUCUCUAAUUUUUUUUUGUUCUUGUGAAUUUACAGGCAAUUGCUCAGGUUCGAACUGUUUACUCUUAUGUUGGAGAGAGCAAGGCUCUUAGCUCGUACUCAGAGGCGAUUCAGUACACUCUUAAGCUUGGUUAUAAAGCUGGGAUGGCUAAAGGAUUAGGUUUAGGAUGUACUUAUGGAAUAGCUUGCAUGUCAUGGGCUCUAGUGUUCUGGUACGCUGGUGUUUUCAUCAGGAGUGGAACAACAGAUGGAGGAAAAGCAUUCACUGCUAUCUUCUCAGCCAUUGUUGGUGGAAUGUAAGGAAACAGAACAUCAAACUGAUGCCCUUUUUUUUGUUAUAGACUUUUAACAUGUGACUAUGUUGUUUCUAGGAGCUUGGGACAAUCUUUCUCAAAUCUUGGAGCGUUUAGUAAAGGCAAAGCUGCUGGUUACAAGCUGAUGGAGAUAAUUAACCAGAGACCAACUAUAGUACAAGACCCCUUGGAUGGGAAGUGCUUGGAGCAAGUUCAAGGAAACAUUGAGUUUAAAGAUGUGACGUUUAGCUAUCCUUCGCGUCCUGAUGUUAUCAUCUUCAGAAACUUCUCUAUCUUCUUCCCUUCUGGGAAGACCGUAGCUGUGGUUGGUGGUAGUGGCUCUGGGAAGAGUACUGUUGUUUCCCUUAUAGAGAGAUUCUACGACCCAAACAACGGUAACUUGAGUAACAAGCAACUCUUUUUAUCUAGGUUUUUGGCUAGUGUAUGGAUCUUGAUAACUUUUUUUUAAUGAGCAGGGGAGAUUCUGUUGGAUGGUGUUGAGAUAAAGACGCUUCAGUUAAAGUUCUUGCGUGAACAGAUCGGUCUUGUGAAUCAAGAACCUGCUCUCUUCGCCACAACCAUUCUUGAGAAUAUACUCUACGGGAAACCUAAUGCAACAAUAGAUGAAGUUGAAGCUGCUGCGUCUGCUGCCAACGCGCAUAGCUUCAUCACGUUGCUUCCUAAAGGCUACGACACACAGGUUGGAGAGCGUGGCGUUCAACUCUCA